This 325-nucleotide ribosomal RNA is filed under the name uncultured bacterium. Its description in RNAcentral is "bacterial SSU rRNA". It matches the Rfam family "Bacterial small subunit ribosomal RNA", at positions 29 to 352 of the family's 1533-position model. The record is from RNAcentral.
AUUGAACGCUGGCGGCAUGCUUUACACAUGCAAGUCGAACGGCAGCACGGGGGCAACCCUGGUGGCGAGUGGCGAACGGGUGAGUAACACAUCGGAACGUGUCCAGUUGUGGGGGAUAACCCAUCGAAAGGUGGGCUAAUACCGCAUGAGCUGGCAACAGGAAAGCGGGGGACCCGCAAGGGCCUUGUGCGAUUGGAGCGGCCGAUGUCCGAUUAGCUAGUUGGGUGGGGUAAAGGCCUACCAAGGCUUCGAUCGGUAGCUGGUCUGAGAGGAUGAUCAGCCACACUGGGACUGAGACACGGCCCAGACUCCUACGGGAGGCAGC